CCUACGGGUGGCUGCAGUAGGGAAUAUUGCUCAAUGGGGGAAACCCUGACGCAGCAACGCCGCGUGGAGGAUGAAGGUUUUAGGAUUGUAAACUCCUUUUGUGAGAGAAGAUAAUGACGGUAUCACACGAAUAAGCACCGGCUAACACCGUGCAAGCAGCCGCGGUAAUACGGAGGAGGCGAGCGUCAUCCGGAUUUAUGGGGUUAAAAGGGUGGGCAGGCGGAGGUGCAGGUAAGCGGUCAAAUUGCGGGGCUAAACCCCGUACUGCCGUUGAAACUGCAUGCCUUGAGUGCGCGAGAAGUAUGCGGAAUGCGUGGUGUAGCGGUGAAAUGCAUAGAUAUCACGCAGAACUCCGAUUGCGAAGGCAGCAUGCCGGCGCGCAACUGACGCUCAUGCACGAAAGCGUGGGUAUCGAACAGGAUUAGAUACCCGAGUAGUC
RNAcentral lists this ribosomal RNA (439 nucleotides) under uncultured bacterium. Its description in RNAcentral is "partial 16S ribosomal RNA". It matches the Rfam family "Bacterial small subunit ribosomal RNA", at positions 338 to 795 of the family's 1533-position model. The record is from RNAcentral.